GCCUCGGUGGCGUAAUGGUGAAGAUGUUUGCCUGGUAAACAGGAGGGUGUGGGUUCAACCCCAGCCGAGGUA
Molecule: transfer RNA, 72 nt
Filed under: Diaphorina citri (Asian citrus psyllid)
Lineage: Eukaryota; Metazoa; Arthropoda; Insecta; Hemiptera; Psyllidae
Rfam family: tRNA
About the family: Transfer RNA (tRNA) molecules are approximately 80 nucleotides in length. Their secondary structure includes four short double-helical elements and three loops (D, anti-codon, and T loops). Further hydrogen bonds mediate the characteristic L-shaped molecular structure. tRNAs have two regions of fundamental functional importance: the anti-codon, which is responsible for specific mRNA codon recognition, and the 3' end, to which the tRNAs corresponding amino acid is attached (by aminoacyl-tRNA synthetases). tRNAs cope with the degeneracy of the genetic code in two manners: having more than one tRNA (with a specific anti-codon) for a particular amino acid; and 'wobble' base-pairing, i.e. permitting non-standard base-pairing at the 3rd anti-codon position.
Source: Rfam by way of RNAcentral